AACGAACGCUGGCGGCAUGCCUAACACAUGCAAGUCGAACGAGACCUUCGGGUCUAGUGGCGCACGGGUGCGUAACGCGUGGGAACCUGCCCUUAGGUUCGGAAUAACUCCCCGAAAGGGGUGCUAAUACCGGAUGAUCUCUUCGGGCCAAAGAUUUAUCGCCUUUGGAUGGGCCCGCGUUGGAUUAGCUAGUUGGUAGGGUAAAAGCCUACCAAGGCGACGAUCCAUAGCUGGUCUGAGAGGAUGAUCAGCCACACUGGGACUGAGACACGGCCCAAACUCCUACGGGAGGCAGCAGUGGGGAAUAUUGGACAAUGGGCGAAAGCCUGAUCCAGCAAUGCCGCGUGAGUGAUGAAGGCCUUAGGGUUGUAAAGCUCUUUUACCCGGGAUGAUAAUGACAGUACCGGGAGAAUAAGCUCCGGCUAACUCCGUG
RNAcentral lists this ribosomal RNA (433 nucleotides) under uncultured bacterium. RNAcentral describes it as "partial 16S ribosomal RNA". It matches the Rfam family "Bacterial small subunit ribosomal RNA", at positions 29 to 507 of the family's 1533-position model. The record is from RNAcentral.